RNAcentral lists this ribosomal RNA (301 nucleotides) under uncultured bacterium. Its description in RNAcentral is "partial 16S ribosomal RNA". It matches the Rfam family "Bacterial small subunit ribosomal RNA", at positions 509 to 807 of the family's 1533-position model. The record is from RNAcentral.
CAGCCGCCACGGUAAUACGAAGGGUGCAAGCGUUAAUCGGAAUUACUGGGCGUAAAGCGUGCGUAGGCGGUUUGUUAAGUCUGCUGUGAAAUCCCCGGGCUCAACCUGGGAAUGGCAGUGGAUACUGGCAAGCUAGAGUGUGUCAGAGGAUGGUGGAAUUCCCGGUGUAGCGGUGAAAUGCGUAGAGAUCGGGAGGAACAUCAGUGGCGAAGGCGGCCAUCUGGGACAACACUGACGCUGAGGCACGAAAGCGUGGGGAGCAAACAGGAUUAGAUACCCGAGUAGUCCCUGUCUCUUAUAC